Molecule: non-coding RNA, 65 nt
Organism: Dipodomys ordii (Ord's kangaroo rat)
Lineage: Eukaryota; Metazoa; Chordata; Mammalia; Rodentia; Heteromyidae
Source: Rfam
GGUGGCUAAGUGGUAGAGCACUUGCCUUGCAUGCAUGAGGCCCUGGGUUCAAUUCCUCAGCACCA